Non-coding RNA from Pelobates cultripes (western spadefoot toad), 677 nucleotides. The record is from the annotation of a GenBank genome assembly. Lineage: Eukaryota; Metazoa; Chordata; Amphibia; Anura; Pelobatidae.
UUUUUCGUCCCCCCUCCCUGCUUGUUAGCUGGCCAGGCAGGGGGGCUGUAUUAUUCCCUGGUGGUCCAAUGGAUGGGCUGUGUAGGAGGGAGGCUGGCAGCGAGAUGUAACUUACCUUUACAGCAGCUCAUGUCAGCUCCACCGUAAGUCUCGCGUGGAGCGUUGCCACGGGCUCUGAUGCCUCGGCUCUCGCGAGACUUACACAGGAGGUGACCGGAACGGAGGAGAAGGGAGCUGACAGGAGCUGCUGUAAAGGUAAGUAACAGCUCGCUGCCAGCCCCCAACAGGACUGCCGGGCUUGAAAUGAGCCCAGCGGUCCUGGUCUUUAUUAUGGCCAUAAUACAGAUAUUGACUCGAGUAUAAGACGAUAAGUAUAAGUAUGUGCCGGAAAACUCAUCUUAUACUCGAGUAUAUACAGUAAUUAUGUGAUUUGAUUAAUUAAAAUUUGAUUGACAUGUCUAGCAACACAGGGAGAAAGUGCAGAGAAUUUAAUUCGCAAGCACUAUAUUUGACCCUGUAACUCUCCAGGACAUCAUAAAACCUGUACAUAGUGGGUACUGUUUUACUCGGGAGACUUCACUGAACUCAAAUAUUAGUGUUUCAAAAUGAUAAAUUGUAUUACAACGAUGAUAUUUUAAGUAAAAGUGAAGUUUUUUGCAUUUUUUACAAACGAACGG